Molecule: transfer RNA, 62 nt
Filed under: marine eukaryotic metagenome
Rfam family: tRNA
About the family: Transfer RNA (tRNA) molecules are approximately 80 nucleotides in length. Their secondary structure includes four short double-helical elements and three loops (D, anti-codon, and T loops). Further hydrogen bonds mediate the characteristic L-shaped molecular structure. tRNAs have two regions of fundamental functional importance: the anti-codon, which is responsible for specific mRNA codon recognition, and the 3' end, to which the tRNAs corresponding amino acid is attached (by aminoacyl-tRNA synthetases). tRNAs cope with the degeneracy of the genetic code in two manners: having more than one tRNA (with a specific anti-codon) for a particular amino acid; and 'wobble' base-pairing, i.e. permitting non-standard base-pairing at the 3rd anti-codon position.
Source: RNAcentral
CAUAGCUCAGUCCGGUAGAGCAGUCGCCUUUUAAGCGAAUGGUCCUAGGUUCAAAUCCUAGU